RNAcentral lists this unclassified non-coding RNA (520 nucleotides) under Hevea brasiliensis (rubber tree). The record is from RNAcentral. Lineage: Eukaryota; Viridiplantae; Streptophyta; Magnoliopsida; Malpighiales; Euphorbiaceae.
AAGAUACUGUCAAGAGGAAUGUUCUAAUCGGUCCCUCUAUUUACCCUGAGUCUAAAAGUGCUGAGAAAGCGAGUUCAUUUGUUGGGACAGUGAAAAAGCCAAUGAACACGCUGAGAUCAUUGUCAGCUAAGAACUCAUCCGCCAGGAAUGGUAAUGUAAGAGAUCACAAUUCUGAAGAUAGUGGUACAUCUUUAAAAUUGGGAUCGAAGAAUAUGGAGGCUCGUAAUUCUUUGAAAACGCCAUUGCCAGCUAAGAAUCCUAAGGGCCAUGAGGUAGAUUCAGAGGACAGUGAUACAUCAUUGAAUCCGGGGCUAAAGAAUGUGAAAGCUCGUAAAUCUAUGAUAGGGGCAAGCAGUGAUGGUGAAAUAAGUCCAUGCAAUCAGCUUCCAUCUGCUAGAAUUAAAGAAGGGAAGGUUAAGCGUGGUACUGGAACAGAAAAGCAAAAGUUGCGUGAACAUAUAAGGGGGAUGCUUCUGAAUGCAGGCUGGACAAUAGACUAUAGACCAAGAAGGAACAGAGA